UACGGCAUAAGGCUCAACAUCAACAUAUGGGGCUUGUCUUAACGCAUAAUAGUGAGCGGGACCUACUGACUGACUGAUCUACUUCACUGUAACCCGAUGCCACUUUAACCACGCCCCCCGACCUAGACCACAGAGACCACCAGUUGUAUCUUUCUCUAUCGUUCGCCUCCAUCCAAGGGUGCCCACCUCUCUGUAAUCAACUGCUAACUAACUCUGCAACCGAAGCCAAACGAAGCACGACAUCGGGAAGACAAACUACAACGGAACGAGCGAUCGAAUCCUCCGACCUAAACUGCAGUGUACAAAGACGACAUCACAGAUAGGACAACUUUCUCAAUCUAAGGACAUCACCAUCUUUUCUCAACUAUACUAGCUACUCACUACCUGACUAAGCAUAGGACUGUUUACAUUUGCCAUCGUUCAUGUAUUUUAUCUGUUUUGUUCACCGAACAUAACUGUUGAUAUAUAUUUCCAAGGUUAUUUGGUAGUUGGCUUCGCCACACCAUUUAAGGGCUAUCGUUAGUAUUGCUUCUCAGAGACAUGAGGUCUGCCUUUGUGUUGUGUCGGUCCAAUCGGUUGAGAUAACCAACAUAUUGGUGCUGUUGUCAGGAUAGUACCAAUGGACCUCACUCUCGAACACUUUCUUUAAUGUCUUCUUACGAACCUCGUAAUACCAACCCUAAGAAAGCUCCCUGCCAGAUUCAUGAAUACGUGGAAAUGUGUUCUUAAACGGCCAACGUGUUCUCAGCUGCGCUCCCCCGAAUGAGGAUUCUUAAAUUGAAUGUGCAUUCUCGUACACCUGAAUUUGCAUACAUAAUCGCCCUGCCAGCUCCUUAUAAGUGCGAUAGACUCCUGUGCACACAGAACCCACAGGUAAUGCAACAGCAACACAAUUUCAAAUCAUGUCAAAGCGGAAAGCAAACAACAGUGGCGCACAUGCCAGUAAACGAAGACCUAACUUUACCGGUCCAGAGAUGGAGGUAUUGUUUCAAGGUGUAGAGAGUAAGCGUGACAUCUUAUUUAGUCCUGUAAGUGCGGGGUACAACUCCAGCAAAAAAAAAGAGGCAUGGGAGGACAUAACAGGUGACAUUAACAUGGUGUCAGGAGAGGGGCGCACAGCAGCUGAAGUUAAAAAGAAAUGGGCUGAUGUGAAAUCAGAGGCCAAAAAAAGAAUCUCCAAGCAUAGGAGAGACAUGCUGGCCACUGGAGACGGAACAGCGGACCCAGGGUUGUCUGAGAGGGACCAGCGCGUCGAGGCCAUCAUGGAAGCCAAACCAGUCGACGGUGUGCCAGGUGCUGAUAAUAUGGACACAGACCAGGGGUACCACCUAUCCUCAGCAGCCGUGGCCCCAUCACCCAUCCUAUCUCCCCCGUUGAUUAAGCGAGAAAUUGAAACGGACGAUGAAACUGAUGAUUCUGAGGCAGAACCAGCCCAGCCGUCCACAAGCGCUGCCCCACCAGCCCGGCCGUCCAUCAGCGCUGCCACGCGUGCACCCAGGGCCCGUGGUGACAUAAUAACUCAGGCGGUGCUGGACAGCCAGCUGAGAAUCGCCGACAGCCAGGAGAGAAUCGCUGGGGCACUGGAAGCGCUUGCAGCAACAAUGGCGAAAAUGAACGAUACCCUCACCCAAAUAAACAAAAAGAUGCCCUGACACCCUUGUUUGAGUAUUACUGAAGAGAUGUGUUCUGUAGAUAAAUUGUAAACUGUAUCAAAUAAUAGUGAC
This is a long non-coding RNA of Clupea harengus (Atlantic herring), 1724 nucleotides long. The record is from Ensembl. NCBI's taxonomy places the organism in Eukaryota, Metazoa, Chordata, Actinopteri, Clupeiformes, Clupeidae.